Molecule: ribosomal RNA, 407 nt
Filed under: Verrucomicrobiota bacterium
Lineage: Bacteria; Pseudomonadati; Verrucomicrobiota
Description: Verrucomicrobia bacterium partial 16S ribosomal RNA
Rfam family: Bacterial small subunit ribosomal RNA
Source: RNAcentral
UGGGGAAUAUUGGACAAUGGAGGGAACUCUGAUCCAGCAAUUCUGUGUGUGUGAAGAAGGUUUUAGGACUGUAAAACACUUUUAGUAGGGAAGAAAAAAAUGACGGUACCUACAGAAGAAGCAACGGCUAAAUACGUGCCAGCAGCCGCGGUAAUACGUAUGUUGCGAGCGUUAUCCGGAAUUAUUGGGCUUAAAGGGCAUCUAGGCGAUAAGACAAGUUGAAGGUGAAAACCUGUGGCUCAACCAUAGGCUUGCCUACAAAACUGUUGAACUAGAGUACUGGAAAGGUGGGUGGAACUACACGAGUAGAGGUGAAAUUCGUAGAUAUGUGUAGGAAUGCCGAUGAUGAAGAUAACUCACUGGACAGAAACUGACGCUGAAGUGCGAAAGCUAGGGGAGCAAACAGG